UACGUAGGUGGCAAGCGUUGUCCGGAAUCAUUGGGCGUAAAGCGCGCACAGGCGGUCCCUUAAGUCUGAUGUGAAAGCCCACGGCUCAACCGUGGAGGGUCAUUGGAAACUGGGGGACUUGAGUGCAGAAGAGGAAAGCGGAAUUCCAAGUGUAGCGGUGAAAUGCGUAGAGAUUUGGAGGAACACCAGUGGCGAAGGCGGCUUUCUGGUCUGUAACUGACGCUGAGGCGCGAAAGCGUGGGGAGCAAACAGG
Molecule: ribosomal RNA, 253 nt
Filed under: uncultured bacterium
Lineage: Bacteria
Description: partial 16S ribosomal RNA
Rfam family: Bacterial small subunit ribosomal RNA
Source: RNAcentral